Molecule: ribosomal RNA, 701 nt
Filed under: Bacillus cereus
Lineage: Bacteria; Bacillati; Bacillota; Bacilli; Caryophanales; Bacillaceae
Description: bacterial SSU rRNA
Rfam family: Bacterial small subunit ribosomal RNA
Source: RNAcentral
UUGCUCUUAUGAAGUUAGCGGCGGACGGGUGAGUAACACGUGGGUAACCUGCCCAUAAGACUGGGAUAACUCCGGGAAACCGGGGCUAAUACCGGAUAAUAUUUUGAACUGCAUGGUUCGAAAUUGAAAGGCGGCUUCGGCUGUCACUUAUGGAUGGACCCGCGUCGCAUUAGCUAGUUGGUGAGGUAACGGCUCACCAAGGCAACGAUGCGUAGCCGACCUGAGAGGGUGAUCGGCCACACUGGGACUGAGACACGGCCCAGACUCCUACGGGAGGCAGCAGUAGGGAAUCUUCCGCAAUGGACGAAAGUCUGACGGAGCAACGCCGCGUGAGUGAUGAAGGCUUUCGGGUCGUAAAACUCUGUUGUUAGGGAAGAACAAGUGCUAGUUGAAUAAGCUGGCACCUUGACGGUACCUAACCAGAAAGCCACGGCUAACUACGUGCCAGCAGCCGCGGUAAUACGUAGGUGGCAAGCGUUAUCCGGAAUUAUUGGGCGUAAAGCGCGCGCAGGUGGUUUCUUAAGUCUGAUGUGAAAGCCCACGGCUCAACCGUGGAGGGUCAUUGGAAACUGGGAGACUUGAGUGCAGAAGAGGAAAGUGGAAUUCCAAUGUGUACCGGUGAAAUGCGUAGAGAUAUGGAGGAACACCAGUGGCGAAGGCGACUUUCUGGUCUGUAACUGACACUGAGGCGCGAAAGCCUG